AAAGAAAAACCUUCGCGAAUAGAAUAAUUAGAGUCUUUCAACUUGUGCGCGGAUGCCAGAAUUCACUGUUUGUCUUUAAAAUUUUGCAAUGAUGGGCCUUUGCUUGUCAACAGAAAACUUCCCUAACCGAUGUACGCGUUCAAACUGGGAUUCGGUUACAGUGAUUGCUAGAUUAUUAGAGCAAAAUGUCAUUAUUUUCUGCUCCGAGCCAUCCCAGUUCGCUUUCGUGUCAUCCUGAAGACCAAAGAACAGCAGGUUUGACCGACGCAGCCUGUUCUCGGCGUUGUCACAUUCUUUCAAUUAUGUCACCCAUGCUUUCAGUUAAGCCCAGGCCCGCAUAUAGCUCUAGCCUCAAGUUUCUGCAGCACCACCAGAGAAGUACUACGGGAGCGACUACAAAGGACGCAGUGAAACAUAAACUUCGGUUUCUGUACUCAAAACAUGGCGAACAUUACUAGCAGUGAAAGGCCUCUGCAGUUCAUGAAAAGAAGCAACCAGCCAUCUGUAUGGGACAUGGACUUGUUGCCAUCGAAGAACAGGAACCAAAGCAACCUCACAAAGAUGGAGGAAGCAGAUCUGGGCUGGGGUCAGCCUCACCACUGCUGUCACCUGCGAGCGGAAGAGCUUCAUCAAGUACAACGCCACCUGCCUCAACUGUACGGCUCUGGCACAAGGCGCCAGUGUUUACCACCUGCUGUGGGCUAGCCCAAGCACACGACGCCCCUGAGAGCCCUUGCUCAGGUGGCCUGUAGUGGCCUCCACUGUGACCAGCGUGCUG
Molecule: non-coding RNA, 778 nt
Organism: Dermacentor albipictus
Lineage: Eukaryota; Metazoa; Arthropoda; Arachnida; Ixodida; Ixodidae
Source: RefSeq, a predicted model, not a curated record